CCUACGGGAGGCAGCAGUAGGGAAUAUUGGGCAAUGGAGGCAACUCUGACCCAGCCAUGCCGCGUGCAGGAUGAAGGCGUUAUGCGUUGUAAACUGCUUUUAUAUAGGAAGAAAUAGACCUUGCGAGGUAAGUUGACGGUACUAUAUGAAUAAGCACCGGCUAACUCCGUGCCAGCAGCCGCGGUAAUACGGAGGGUGCAAGCGUUGUCCGGAUUUAUUGGGUUUAAAGGGUGCGUAGGCGGUUUAUUAAGUCAGUGGUGAAAGACGGUCGCUCAACGAUUGCAGUGCCAUUGAUACUGGUAGACUUGAGUGGGAUUGAGGUAGCUGGAAUGGAUAGUGUAGCGGUGAAAUGCAUAGAUAUUAUCCAGAACACCAAUUGCGUAGGCAAGUUACUAAGUCUCAACUGACGCUGAGGCACGAAAGUGUGGGUAUCAAACAGGAUUAGAUACCCUGGUAGUCCACACUGUAAACGAUGAUAACUAACUGUUGGCUUUCGGGUCAGUGGUACAGAGAAAUCGUUAAGUUAUCCACCUGGGGAGUCGCCGGCAACGGUGAAACUCAAANAGAGUAGACGCGNGAGAGAGCGACGACGACGACGAGGGAGGAGG
This 608-nucleotide ribosomal RNA is filed under the name uncultured bacterium. RNAcentral's name for it is "bacterial SSU rRNA". It matches the Rfam family "Bacterial small subunit ribosomal RNA", at positions 338 to 951 of the family's 1533-position model. The record is from RNAcentral.